CCCUUAGAUGUUCUGGGCCGCACGCGCGCUACACUGUUCGACGCAGCGAGUCUUAACCUUGACCGAAAGGUUUGGGUAGUCUUCAGCAAAGUCGAACGUGAUGGGGAUCGAUCAUUGCAAUUAUUGAUCGUGAACGAGGAAUUCCUAGUAAGUGCAAGUCAUCAGCUUGCGCUGAUUACGUCCCUGCCCUUUGUACACACCGCCCGUCGCUACUACCGAUUGAAUGGUUUAGUGAGAUCUCUGGAUUGACGCUGGCUAGGGGGCGACCCUUGGCCAGGCUGUCGAGAAACUGCUCAAACUUGAUCAUUUAGAGGAAGUAAAAGUCGUAACA
RNAcentral lists this ribosomal RNA (331 nucleotides) under uncultured eukaryote. RNAcentral's name for it is "partial 18S ribosomal RNA". It matches the Rfam family "Eukaryotic small subunit ribosomal RNA", at positions 1470 to 1796 of the family's 1831-position model. The record is from RNAcentral.